This 478-nucleotide ribosomal RNA is filed under the name uncultured bacterium. Its description in RNAcentral is "partial 16S ribosomal RNA". It matches the Rfam family "Bacterial small subunit ribosomal RNA", at positions 28 to 523 of the family's 1533-position model. The record is from RNAcentral.
GACGAACGCUGGCGGCGUGCUUAACACAUGCAAGUCGAGCGAUGAAGCUCCUUCGGGAGUGGAUUAGCGGCGGACGGGUGAGUAACACGUGGGUAACCUGCCUCAUAGAGGGGAAUAGCCUUCCGAAAGGAAGAUUAAUACCGCAUAAGAUUGUAGUACCGCAUGGUACAGCAAUUAAAGGAGUAAUCCGCUAUGAGAUGGACCCGCGUCGCAUUAGCUAGUUGGUGAGGUAACGGCUCACCAAGGCGACGAUGCGUAGCCGACCUGAGAGGGUGAUCGGCCACAUUGGGACUGAGACACGGCCCAGACUCCUACGGGAGGCAGCAGUGGGGAAUAUUGCACAAUGGGGGAAACCCUGAUGCAGCAACGCCGCGUGAGUGAUGACGGUCUUCGGAUUGUAAAACUCUGUCUUCUGGGACGAUAAUGACGGUACCAGAGGAGGAAGCCACGGCUAACUACGUGCCAGCAGCCGCAGUAA